RNAcentral lists this ribosomal RNA (253 nucleotides) under uncultured bacterium. RNAcentral's name for it is "partial 16S ribosomal RNA". It matches the Rfam family "Bacterial small subunit ribosomal RNA", at positions 524 to 776 of the family's 1533-position model. The record is from RNAcentral.
UACGUAGGGGGCAAGCGUUGUUCGGAAUUACUGGGCGUAAAGCGCGCGUAGGCGGCUUUGUAAGUUAGAGGUGAAAGCCCGGGGCUCAACCCCGGAACUGCCUUUAAGACUGCAUCGCUUGAAUCCGGGAGAGGUGAGUGGAAUUCCGAGUGUAGAGGUGAAAUUCGUAGAUAUUCGGAAGAACACCAGUGGCGAAGGCGGCUCACUGGACCGGUAUUGACGCUGAUGUGCGAAAGCGUGGGGAGCAAACAGG